RNAcentral lists this ribosomal RNA (301 nucleotides) under uncultured bacterium. Its description in RNAcentral is "partial 16S ribosomal RNA". It matches the Rfam family "Bacterial small subunit ribosomal RNA", at positions 509 to 807 of the family's 1533-position model. The record is from RNAcentral.
CAGUAGCCGCGGUAAUACGAAGGUCCCGAGCGUUGUUCGGAAUCACUGGGCGUAAAGGGAGCGUAGGCGGCGUGGUAAGUCAGAUGUGAAAUCCCGGGGCUCAACCCCGGAACUGCAUCCGAUACUGCCAUGCUAGAGGAUUGGAGAGGUAGCUGGAAUUCUUGGUGUAGCAGUGAAAUGCGUGGAGAUCAAGAGGAACACUCGUGGCGAAAGCGAGCUACUGGACAAUAACUGACGCUGAGGCUCGAAGGCCAGGGUAGCGGAAGGGAUUAGAUACCCCUGUAGUCCCUGUCUCUUAUAC